Molecule: ribosomal RNA, 466 nt
Filed under: uncultured bacterium
Lineage: Bacteria
Description: bacterial SSU rRNA
Rfam family: Bacterial small subunit ribosomal RNA
Source: RNAcentral
GCCAGACUCCUACGGGAGGCAGCAGUGAGGAAUAUUGGUCAAUGGGCGGGAGCCUGAACCAGCCAAGCCGCGUGAGGGAGGAAGGCGCAGAGCGUCGCAGACCUCUUUUGCCGGGGGACAAAAGGCCGGACUCGUCCGGUCCUGAGGGUACCCGGAGAAAAAGCAUCGGCUAACUCCGUGCCAGCAGCCGCGGUAAUACGGAGGAUGCGAGCGUUAUCCGGAUUUAUUGGGUUUAAAGGGUGCGUAGGCGGUUUGAUAAGUUAGAGGUGAAAUGUCGGGGCUCAACCCCGAAACUGCCUCUAAUACUGUUGGACUAGAGAAUAGUUGCGGUAGGCGGAAUGUAUGGUGUAGCGGUGAAAUGCUUAGAGAUCAUACAGAACACCGAUUGCGAAGGCAGCUUACCAAACUAUAUCUGACGUUGAGGCACGAAAGCGUGGGUAGCAAACAGGAUUAGAUACCCCAGUAA